Camellia sinensis is the source of this 1104-nucleotide non-coding RNA. Lineage: Eukaryota; Viridiplantae; Streptophyta; Magnoliopsida; Ericales; Theaceae. The record is from RefSeq and is a predicted model, not a curated record.
UGCACCUUAGGGUGCUGGGUUCUCCACAAAUUCCAAGCAGAUUGAAUAGAGAAGCACCCAUCAGAGGAUGCCAGCCAAAUAGCUUUAUCCUCCAUAUUAGUUGGGUUACCCUGAACAUUAGCCUUAAUGUCAUCUAAUUCCCAGGUCUGGCACACAGGCCAUCUCCAUCUCCCAUCAUCUAUAAUGGAAGCAACCUUAGCCUAAGCUAGAGAGCCUACAUCAUAAAUAACUCAAUCUGCAAAUCUUUCCUUCAAAGGACCAAGAGGAUGCCAAUUAUGAAGACAAAGAAAAGUGUUCUGCCCAUUACCCACUUUAAACCAAUAUGCUGGAUGAGAUCAUUUGUAAGGGGAGUAUGUUGCUCAUGUUUGUUCUUGCUUUUGUUCGUAUUUGACAUGAUCACAAACCAUUAAAAAAACUAGGAAGACAACACUCUAUGAAUGCUGCUGGAGCAGAUUUAGGCUCAAUGAAAGGUGUAUGACCUGAUUUUGGGGUGUAUUGUGAUUGUAUAGUUGCAUGUUUUGGGAUGUCAUUUAUGGAAUGUUGUAUUUUGGGGAGUAUGUUGCUCAUGUUUGUUCUUCCUUAUUAUGUCUCAGUUUGUUAGUUACCAUUGAUCGUAUCUGACGAGUUCCAUUUCUUCCAAUGCAGGGAAGUUUCCUACCCUUGUCACGCAUCAAGAACCUGUCGCGUCUAAAGUUAAUGAGACAAAAGUGACAGUCAAAUUCCAACUGAAGAAGGUUCUCUGCAUGGGAGUUGCUGUUUUCCAACUGUGCAAUUCAGUGUUAAUUUUCUGGUUUCAUUGUUGAAGAAGAACUGGCAAAAUGCAUCUUUUCUCUUUACGGUGGUAGGGACAACAGGCUUUUUCGGUGUUCUUGCCGGGCAGCUUCCUCGGGUACAAUGGUUCCGGGAGUCAAGACAGGCCGACGGAAGAGAGCAACAAGUGGCAACGUACUAUCAACAUCUGAAGCAUGUCCACAGGAGAGUGGCACCCCGAUGAUGUUCUCUGAUGAGACGCAACCACCAGAUGAUACACAAACUGUGGUGGAGGAGACGCAACCAGGUGGAGUGGGUAAGAGCAUACUAUUUAGUUGUUUAAAAAAAAUUUGG